This is a long non-coding RNA of Brassica napus (rape), 1666 nucleotides long. RefSeq lists it as uncharacterized. NCBI's taxonomy places the organism in Eukaryota, Viridiplantae, Streptophyta, Magnoliopsida, Brassicales, Brassicaceae. The record is from RefSeq and is a predicted model, not a curated record. The transcript has 5 exons.
CAAGCCAACCCGCGCCCCCCAUCUGAUUCUAGGGUUCGUCCCACUCUUUCUUCUCCGCUGUACGAGAGAGUUUGAGCUCUGGAAGUCGUCGUGAAGAAUCUAUUUGUAGGGUUUUGAUCGCGUCGUUUGAUAUUUGUUUUAAUGAUCUGAAACGCCUCCGGUUACAGCUUCAUGGCGUUAAACCCCUUCUUAAAUCCAUCACCCACGAUCUCGACUACAAUGCGAGUUUUUCUUCGCAAGGGUGUGUAUCUGCGAAUAUAAAAAGGCGACCAUGAUGGUAGCCACCAUGAAUGUCAACCGGCUUGCUACUUACAUACCAAACGCCUUCAAAGCUUUGAUGUGACUCGAUGUAAUCAAAAUUUCCAACUGUUGGACUCCUCUCUGCUGAUUCGUUUCAGGGAUACAAACUCCCUUGAUGAGGUCACCGAACCGUGCUCAUGAAUAGGUAAAACCCAAUGUGGUAUUUGAGAGAGGACUCGAAGGCUUGCUUGAUAACAGUAUUUUUCAGUUUCUUAGUUUAGUGCUCAAAGCUAGACUGUUUGUUGAAAAUCUACAAACCCUAUAAUGCGCUCGCUAACAUCCUUGCUCAUACUAAAACGUCAAAACAAAUUGAAACCAUAAAGCCGGAAAUUGUAAGUAUAUGCAUAUAUGUUAAUUGGUUUGGUAGGCAGAUACGAGAUUAAACAUAUGUGUUCUCUCUUGGAUAGAUCAAAAAAAUUCAUUACACUUUCAUGUCAUAUAUUGUAUCUUCAUUUUUGGUUUUCAAACUUGUGAAUCGUACGGAGAAACGGAUAAAUAAUUUAGUAAUAAGAUUGCUAUACAGAUCUUGCACGGUAUGCGUGAGCGGUGUGAAAUCCACCGCAAGCUUCGUUAUACUGACAAUGCAUUGGUUGCUGUUGCGCAGUUGUCACAUCAAUACAUCAAGUUUUUGUUUCUUCUUAUUUUCAGCCUCUUGCCAAGACAUGAUUUUUAGACAAACUGUAGCAUUUACUCAAACCAGUUGAUUCUCUUUAUUGAAUGAAUAGUGAUUAGUGCCUUCAAGACAAAGCGACUGACUUGAUUGAUGAAGAUGGAUCUUUGGUUCGACCUUGCCAUGCUCAGAUCCCUGAGGAAGCUAGAGAGCUUGAAAAGCAACUCAGACAGAUCACUUAGGAGAAGCAUGAGUCUGUGCGAGGCCAAGAAUUUUAGAAGCAACAGGUUGGUUCUCACUAUAACCAGAAAAAUAAUAUAGGGACGAGAUAGAUAUAUGUUGUUUAAGCCAAAGGCAAAGAAGUGAGCAAAGCUGAGACAUAAGCUGGUGAAUAAGGAGGGUCUACUGCCACUGAAUCUGACAUCCAACCCAUUGUCUCCACCUGGUCAUGAAUUCUGGUUGAGAAAGUCUGAUGAAUCUAGCCGUAUUCCCAAUAUGGUGCAGAGACUUCAUAGAAGAUUUAUCGGACAAAACGAAGUUACCAUAGCUAUUGUCUGGGAGAUCCAACGUCCAUGUGCUGGGCUCAAGAACCCAAACCACACAAUCUAAUAUUUUGAAUUUUCUUAAAAGUAUUCUAUGUACUUUUAUCUUUUGUGUAUUAUUUCUUUUCAUGCUACUUGAUUCUACAUAUAAAAACACUUGGCUGUGUUCGAGAUUGCAAACUAUGCAUUUACAAAAUGUUGUUAUCCGUUCUCA